CUUAUUAGUAUUUUAUGCACUCAAAAGUUCUGAAAAACAUAUAAAGAUAUUGGUAUUUUUCUGAAAAUCCAUAUCCAUCCUUAAAAUAACAAGAUGAACCCAAAAAAUACUCUAAAAACUUGUUUCUUUAGUUGGGAUUUCUGGUUUAAAAGCUGGUAGAUUUGGGUUGAUUUUUCUAGCUGGAUUUUCUGGUUUGCUCUACUGAUCCUGUUGUUCUGUUUGCUGUUCCUGCUUCUUUUCUUCCAAGAAAUUUAUUUUCUCUUUUCUUUUUCUAUUGUUGUUCAAGGUAUAUGUCUUAUUUUUUGUUUAUGUGUUUGUAAAUGGGAAGUUAAGGAUAAAUACAAGUUGUUUUUCUAUCAAAGAUGUAUGUUUAUAUUUUCAUGUUAUGAUGUGAAUUUAUCUACUAAUAUGCAACAACAUUGAAACUUUCUCUUUGAAAUGUGUGAUUCCCUGUUCUUUUAGCUUUUAUAUCAUGAGGAUCUUUUUCUUUGUAUAAAUGUUGAAGCAACAUGGUUAUCUGUCUAUUUCAGCUAGUAUACACUUCCUUUUUGUUAUUGUUGUUGUAUUUGUUAGGCAGCAUGCUAAAUCCCUGUAGUUGAAACCUUGUUUUGUCAUGAAUUUAACCUUCUAAUAUGUUCAGAUCCAUGGAUUACACUACCCCAUCUCUUUUGUUCAUUAUUGCAUUUGUUUGAGUAUGUUAGUCAAUAUAGUCUGCCUUUGGGUUUGAAGUUUUUAUUUGGUUUGUGAGUCUGACCUUUAACAUAGUCAAAACUAUGAAUACACUGCUUUUUUCACUUAUUUUUGCAUAGUUUACUUGAGUUUGGUUUGAUGAUACAGUAGGUCCAUGUAUCUGAAGACAUUUUGUGGGUCUAAUAUUUAACAUGGUCAGAUCCAUGAAAUUCUAAGUGGAAAUAAAAGCUAGUUUGGAAGUAAGAAACCUCAUGGUCGGACUUUGAAAGGUCAACUUGUGAGAAACAGCUCUGUAGCUGAUUUCUUGCAAGUUUGUUCUUUGGUUUGAAGGAUUUGAUGGAAGGAAUCUGAAACUAGAAGAAAUUUUCCUUUUAUUUACUUUAAAAUGUUUCUUCUCCUUUCUUUUAGAUGUUAGUUAUAAUGGAUUGUUAGAAUGAUGGGUUGUAAAGUUAAAAAUCUUCCUUCUACAAAUUCAGGGACAUUUAUUAGUGCAGGACUGUUGGAAUGCAUUGAUUUUAAAAUUUAGGUCCAUAGCAUGAGAUCUCUUUGUAAAAGUUAUUAGCGUAUUUAUUUGCAAAAGUGUUUGAAUGUAAAAUGAGUUGGCCAGACUUGCAACAAGACCCAACAUGGGGAAUCACUUGAGCAAGUAUGGGUCUGGGCGUUUUACCCAGUAGAGUGAUGUCUAAUUGCAAAGUUUUCCUUGAAG
RNAcentral lists this long non-coding RNA (1396 nucleotides) under Nicotiana benthamiana. RNAcentral's name for it is "long non-coding RNA (NBEN_LNC028456)". The record is from RNAcentral. Lineage: Eukaryota; Viridiplantae; Streptophyta; Magnoliopsida; Solanales; Solanaceae.